RNAcentral lists this ribosomal RNA (534 nucleotides) under Pelophylax ridibundus (marsh frog). RNAcentral's name for it is "partial 16S ribosomal RNA". It matches the Rfam family "Bacterial large subunit ribosomal RNA", at positions 1922 to 2621 of the family's 2925-position model. The record is from RNAcentral. Lineage: Eukaryota; Metazoa; Chordata; Amphibia; Anura; Ranidae.
GUUCAACGGCCGCGGUACCCUAACCGUGCGAAGGUAGCAUAAUCACUUGUUCUUUAAAUAGGGACUCGUAUCAACGGCAUCACGAGGGCUAUACUGUCUCCUUUCUCCAAUCAGUGAAACUGAUCUUCCCGUGAAGAAGCGGGAAUUAUCAUAUAAGACGAGAAGACCCCAUGGAGCUUUAAACUCAAUAUAUAUUUCUACGCAUUUAUAUCACUAUAGCCCAAGAAAAUUAUAUGUUGGUUUUGGGUUGGGGGGACCGCGGAGAAAAAAUUAACCUCCACGACAAAUAGGCCAACGCCUUUAUCUACGAACCACAAUUCUAAGAAUCAAUAAACUGAUGUUUAAUGAUCCAAUUUUUUUGAUCAACGAACCAAGUUACCCUGGGGAUAACAGCGCAAUCUACUUCAAGAGCUCCUAUCGACAAGUGGGUUUACGACCUCGAUGUUGGAUCAGGGUAUCCUAGUGGUGCAGCCGCUACUAAAGGUUCGUUUGUUCAACGAUUAAAACCCUACGUGAUCUGAGUUCAGAACGGGA